Molecule: non-coding RNA, 25 nt
Filed under: Cricetulus griseus (Chinese hamster)
Lineage: Eukaryota; Metazoa; Chordata; Mammalia; Rodentia; Cricetidae
Source: RNAcentral
UACCGUACCUGUGCAGCUGUUUUGU